Molecule: ribosomal RNA, 450 nt
Filed under: uncultured bacterium
Lineage: Bacteria
Description: partial 16S ribosomal RNA
Rfam family: Bacterial small subunit ribosomal RNA
Source: RNAcentral
GUGGGGAAUCUUCCGCAAUGGACGAAAGUCUGACGGAGCAACGCCGCGUGAGUGAUGAAGGUCUUCGGAUUGUAAAACUCUGUUGUCAGGGACGAAUGUGCGAACGUUGAAUAAGCGUUUGUAUUGACGGUACCUGACGAGGAAGCCACGGCUAACUACGUGCCAGCAGCCGCGGUAAUACGUAGGUGGCAAGCGUUGUCCGGAAUUAUUGGGCGUAAAGAGCAUGUAGGCGGGCUUUUAAGUCCGACGUGAAAAUGCGGGGCUUAACCCCGUAUGGCGUUGGAUACUGGAAGUCUUGAGUGCAGGAGAGGAAAGGGGAAUUCCCAGUGUAGCGGUGAAAUGCGCAGAUAUUGGGAGGAACACCAGUGGCGAAGGCGCCUUUCUGGACUGUGUCUGACGCUGAGAUGCGAAAGCCAGGGUAGCAAACGGGAUUAGAAACCCCUGUAGUCC